UGGGGAAUUUUGGACAAUGGGCGAAAGCCUGAUCCAGCAAUGCCGCGUGUGUGAAGAAGGCCUUCGGGUUGUAAAGCACUUUUGUCCGGAAAGAAAUCCUUGGCUCUAAUACAGUCGGGGGAUGACGGUACCGGAAGAAUAAGCACCGGCUAACUACGUGCCAGCAGCCGCGGUAAUACGUAGGGUGCAAGCGUUAAUCGGAAUUACUGGGCGUAAAGCUUGCGCAGGCGGUUUGCUAAGACCGAUGUGAAAUCCCCGGGCUCAACCUGGGAACUGCAUUGGUGACUGGCAGGCUAGAGUAUGGCAGAGGGGGGUAGAAUUCCACGUGUAGCAGUGAAAUGCGUAGAGAUGUGGAGGAAUACCGAUGGCGAAGGCAGCCCCCUGGGCCAAUACUGACGCUCAUGCACGAAAGCGUGGGGAGCAAACAGGAUUAGAUACCCUGGUAGUCCACGCCCUAAACGAUGUCAACUAGUUGUUGGGGAUUCAUUUCCUUAGUAACGUAGCUAACGCGUGAAGUUGACCGCCUGGGGAGUACGGUCG
RNAcentral lists this ribosomal RNA (540 nucleotides) under uncultured bacterium. RNAcentral's name for it is "partial 16S ribosomal RNA". It matches the Rfam family "Bacterial small subunit ribosomal RNA", at positions 355 to 888 of the family's 1533-position model. The record is from RNAcentral.